RNAcentral lists this ribosomal RNA (441 nucleotides) under uncultured bacterium. RNAcentral's name for it is "partial 16S ribosomal RNA". It matches the Rfam family "Bacterial small subunit ribosomal RNA", at positions 338 to 795 of the family's 1533-position model. The record is from RNAcentral.
CCUACGGGGUGCAGCAGUGGGGAAUAUUGCACAAUGGGGGAAACCCUGAUGCAGUGACGCCGCGUGAGUGAAGAAGUAUUUCGGUAUGUAAAGCUCUAUCAGCAGGGAAGAAAAAAGACGGUACCUGACUAAAAAGCCCCGGCUAACUACGUUCCAGCAGCCGCGGUAAUACGUAGGGGGCAAGCGUUAUCCGGAAUUAAUGGGUGUAAAGUGUGCGUAGGUGGCAUGGUAAGUCAGAAGUGAAAGUCCGGGGCUUAACCCCGGGACUGCUUUUGAAACUGUCAUGCUGGAGUGCAGGAGAGGUAAGCGGAAUUCCUAGUGUAGCGGUGAAAUGCGUAGAUAUUAGGAGGAACACCAGUGGCGAAGGCGGCUUACUGGACUGUCACUGACACUGAUGCACGAAAGCGUGGGGAGCAAACAGGAUUAGAUACCCGUGUAGUC